This 100-nucleotide transfer RNA is filed under the name Marmota monax (woodchuck). RNAcentral describes it as "tRNA.Ala". The record is from RNAcentral. Lineage: Eukaryota; Metazoa; Chordata; Mammalia; Rodentia; Sciuridae.
AGAGGUAGCUCAGUGGUAGAGUGCUUGCCUUGCAUGCACAUACUUGAAGUUAGGGGGUUGGAGAUAGAGGUAGCCCUGGGUUCAAUUUCCAGCAUACCUA